This is a long non-coding RNA of Myxocyprinus asiaticus (Chinese sucker), 2340 nucleotides long. RefSeq lists it as uncharacterized. The transcript has 3 exons. NCBI's taxonomy places the organism in Eukaryota, Metazoa, Chordata, Actinopteri, Cypriniformes, Catostomidae. The record is from RefSeq and is a predicted model, not a curated record.
CUUUGCAAAAUUCAGUUUGCAUAUGGACGGAAGAAUAACAAAUAGCUUACAAAGCUAAAUUUCCAGCCCUGUUGUCUGUCUGAAGUGGUCUAUGAGAAAGAUUUUCUCCUUGUAAAGCACUGCUAAUUGCUCUGAUGAGAGUGCUUCGUGUUGAUUUCUUUGACUGAUUUCUGCACCUGCUCCUGGAUCUCUGAGGGUACACAAAAGGAGAAAUUUUGAGAAAAUAUUCUGUUCGCUGAUGUCAUAAAAUGGCAUUGGACGGUGACCACCAAAGACCCGGGUAUGAGUCCAGCAAAGCACACGAGUCAACAUGUGAGCCAAAAAUGUAAUAGAAGUGCCACAAAAUGAUGUGGUUGCUUCAGCUUUUUCUCACGUUUGCUUUUACGUCUUAGGUUUAGGUGUAGGGUUUAGAGUAGAGAUGUCAGUUUUGUUUAUUUAAAACUAGAAAAACAGACAAAGUUUUUAAGGUUAAUGCUCUAUCAAUAUCAAAUGUUUUCUUUAUGACAUUAUUGGUUAGGUUUAGGUUAGGUUUAGGUUAGGUUUAGGUUAGGGAGGUAGGUUUUGUUCAUUUAAAACUCCAUAAACUCCAUACAGCAUUAACAUUUAAAAACCCUACUCUUUUUGUCAGAAUAUUUAACUUGCUUUUAAUAUUUCACCUUGAAACUGCAGCGAUACGUGUAAUGAACUAUGUAAUUUCAUUUUACAAAAAUGUUGCCACAGUCACAUAAUUUUCAUGAGAUCAUGCUGGCAUUAUCCAAGUUUGUUAUUCUGACUUUGCAAAAAUUGGUCUGGUACAAUUUUAAUUCGAAAUAAGCAUUUGCAGGACAUUUUAAAAAGAUGAAUUAUUGUUUGAUGAAGUAUUCCUAUCUCUCAGGUAGGUCCUUCAAGGUAGCCUGGAGAGGUGAGGAGUCCAAGUCACAUCAGCUACUUACUGGGGUACCUCAGGGCUCAGUGCAUGGGCCACUUCUCUUCUCUAUAUACACAACAUCACUGAGACCCAGUGGCGAAUUCUCAGGGCCAGCAAAUCCUUCUCUGCUGGCGUAACAUGCCUAAUAAAUAAUAUUUUUUCAUCCUUUCAUUCUCAUUGACCUUUUUGCCUGUGUAUUUUCAAUCACCGUCAACUCCUAAUUAAUCUAAUGUAUGGUGCUUCUCAAUCGGAAGGCUACAGCCUAGUUAGGCGGUGUCAUUCCUAAACCAGUCCUUCUGAGGCUGUGGGCUAGGCUCGUCCUCAGCAUUUAGCACUAGAAUGAGAUGGUCUAGUAAGUGUGGAUGGCAAACCAUAUGCUUAGAACCAUGUGAUAUUUUACUUUGUUUAGAAAAUCCAAAUACUUCAGAAAAUGAGAAAUAUGUUCUUACUCUCUACAUUAUUUUUGCAAAAAUGUUUAUUCACAAAGCUAGAGUCACUCAAAAAAGCCUUUACUACAUUUUGCAACACUGAUCUUAGAAUUUAUAUUGAAACCCUUUCAAAUAUGAAAAUACUAGACAUAUAAAAACUAUAAAACUUGUAAAACUUUUCAAAUUCAUGUAAUUGCCAUUUUAUUUAUUUAUUUGUUAUGUGCUUUUUAUCUUCUAAUUUGUUGUAUUGUCUAAACUACUUGCCCUUUUUAUUUUUCUACAGAUUGUCAUUGCUGCAAAUGCAAAUCAAACUUGAAGAGAAAAAAAAAAAUGGCUGCGUCAUAAAGGUUUCUGCCUCCGCGGUCAUGCGACUAGUUUUCUGCAAUUUUAUUAAAUAAUUUGGGACAUGUGCAAGGGAUUGAGGGUGUUUGAAGGCCACGAAGGAUGCACUUGAUGCAUCCUCCAAAAUAUGGCAAACAAAGUCUGCGUAAUCAGCCUGCCUUCCAAGGGUCCUCACAACUGAGACGUCCUUUGAUGGUUCUUGAUGACAUAGCAGCCAAGAUAUCCAGCCUAAUGAGGCUGAAACCUUCUGAUUGAGAAGCAACUAUUUCCUGUUGAAACAGGAAGUUUGGUCAGGACAUAUGGAUGGGUUUACCCCUUUAAUCUAAAAAAACAUUAGCUUCAGUAAAGUCACAGCCAUGGACCAUGGUUUGCUGCCUGCUAGUCGAUUGCAGGUAGUAAUAGGGGGAGGGAAAUUCUCAUUACUUAGAGCAUUUGAUUGGACAGAAAUCUGUGUAGUGCAAGAUAAGUCAUCAAUUUUUAUAAAAUGUUUCUGAAAGACUGUAGAUUUAAAAUGCGUAUAUCUGCUAAAGGUUUAUUUUGUCAACUUUUAGGAGUAGCCUACACUAGCAUAUAGACAUGGACUGAAAGCCACAAAACUCCCAUUUUGAUUUCAUGGGGUCUUUAAAUAAAGAGCUGUCCACUUCUGUCAACCAUUAAACUUGU